ACAGGUGGCGAAAACGAGCUUUAUUUUUCUACCAUGCGAUGAAACUGUCAUCGAGAUCAGGAGAGCUAUAUAAAGAGAGCGACACUACAGUAAAAUUCUUUUGAUAUCAGAACUCCGCCGUUGUCGGGCUAGGUUUCUGGAUUUCAUUGUUGGUUUCUACCAUUUCAUUUGUUAUCCAUGUGAGCUGCACUCGCUUAGGCUUUGUUACAGUGUGUUUAAUUGUAACAUAUUUAGGUCAUCUGGAAUCAUUGGGUUUUGUGGAGAUUAAUUGCUGAAGUUUCAUUUACCUGUCCAGGGUACACACACACACUUAGACGAGUGAUAGCUGCGUAAAUUGAAAUUGCGGUCAAUAUCCUUAUUGAUAGGGUCGAUUACUGUAAUGAAGAGGAAAAGCUUCUGUGGUUGACCCAAUGUACAAAACGAAUAAGUGGUUGCUAAUCAAUAAUUGUAAUCUAUGUUAAUGGUUAACAUUAAGACUUGCUUAGCUGCUUAACUUUUCUCUUUAGAUCAUAAACUUGUAUCGAAUCUAUUAUUAUAAUAAGCUCAGGUACAAAUAUGAGAUUAAUUUCUCCAUCUUGUUAUCCUGAGUUAGAAGCUGGAUUUUGUAAGUUGGGGUUUUGGUAUGACUGGACUACUAGCUAUUUUGAAUUGUCCCUACACCUGUAAAAUUGAAAUUGUGCCUUUUUUUUUAUGUUUUAAAUUGUUUUGGGUUGGAAUGUGUGCUGUCAUAUAUUUUUAAUCUUCUAUUCCCAUAUUAAGUGAUUCAUUUUCAGUAAGAGCGUGUCCAGUUGUGAGUAUGUUGAUGCUGCAAAUGACGUCUUCUGGUACUAUAAUUAUGAUGAUAAUCUACGUGGACGAAAUUCGUUAAAAAUAUACGUAACACGACGAGAGCUGACGAAAAAUGUGUGAGUUCCAUUUAUGAUAUUAGUCAAGAUUUUUAGGAAAGAAGUUGAUGCAAAUAUCGCUAUUCACGAGGUCGCUGAUGAAAUGGAAAAGGAGUUUCCUGUAGUGAUUGUUGGCAGUUGGAGAGGCGUUCGAAAUUUUCCUUUUACUUAAAUUUUCUUGUGUUUACAAUAGAAAAAAUAGUCCUUGUGAUGUGUUUUGUAGUCUUUGUUUUCUGAAGCCAUGUUUCCCCGUUACUUGUGAUAACUCCGUAGGCAGUUGUGAUGUUUUGUCAUUAACGUAUCUCAGAAUUAUCAAUAAAACACAUUUUGAAUAAUA
This is a long non-coding RNA of Daphnia magna, 1221 nucleotides long. RefSeq lists it as uncharacterized. The record is from RefSeq and is a predicted model, not a curated record. NCBI's taxonomy places the organism in Eukaryota, Metazoa, Arthropoda, Branchiopoda, Diplostraca, Daphniidae. The transcript has 5 exons.